Molecule: ribosomal RNA, 274 nt
Filed under: uncultured bacterium
Lineage: Bacteria
Description: partial 16S ribosomal RNA
Rfam family: Bacterial small subunit ribosomal RNA
Source: RNAcentral
AUACGGAGGGCGCAAGCGUUGUUCGGAAUCAUUGGGCGUAAAGCGCGCGUAGGCGGCACGGCAAGUCGGGUGUGAAAGCCCGGGGCUCAACCCCGGAACUGCACUCGAAACUGCCGAGCUAGAGUCUCGGAGAGGAAGGCGGAAUUCCCGGUGUAGAGGUGAAAUUCGUAGAUAUCGGGAGGAACACCAGUGGCGAAGGCGGCCUUCUGGACGAUGACUGACGCUGAGGUGCGAAAGCGUGGGGAGCAAACAGGAUUAGAAACCCCAGUAGUCC